GUGGAUGUAGCUCAGCUGGUUAGAGCAUCGGCUUGUGGUGCCGAGGGUCGUGGGUUCGAGUCCCAUCUUCCACCCA
RNAcentral lists this transfer RNA (76 nucleotides) under Flavobacteriales bacterium. RNAcentral describes it as "tRNA-His". It matches the Rfam family "tRNA". From Rfam's summary of the family: Transfer RNA (tRNA) molecules are approximately 80 nucleotides in length. Their secondary structure includes four short double-helical elements and three loops (D, anti-codon, and T loops). Further hydrogen bonds mediate the characteristic L-shaped molecular structure. tRNAs have two regions of fundamental functional importance: the anti-codon, which is responsible for specific mRNA codon recognition, and the 3' end, to which the tRNAs corresponding amino acid is attached (by aminoacyl-tRNA synthetases). tRNAs cope with the degeneracy of the genetic code in two manners: having more than one tRNA (with a specific anti-codon) for a particular amino acid; and 'wobble' base-pairing, i.e. permitting non-standard base-pairing at the 3rd anti-codon position. Lineage: Bacteria; Pseudomonadati; Bacteroidota; Flavobacteriia; Flavobacteriales. The record is from RNAcentral.